This 459-nucleotide ribosomal RNA is filed under the name uncultured bacterium. RNAcentral describes it as "partial 16S ribosomal RNA". It matches the Rfam family "Bacterial small subunit ribosomal RNA", at positions 338 to 795 of the family's 1533-position model. The record is from RNAcentral.
CCUACGGUGGACAGCAGUGAGGAAUAUUGGUCAAUGGCCGGAAGGCUGAACCAGCCAAGCCGCGUGAAGGACGAAGGUGCCAAGCAUUGUAAACUUCUUUUGUCAAGGGACAAAAUCAGGCUCGAGAGCCUGACCGAGGGUACUUGAAGAAAAAGCAUCGGCUAACUCCGUGCCAGCAGCCGCGGUAAUCCGGAGGAUGCGAGCGUUAUCCGGUUUUAGUGGGUUUAAAGGUUGCGUAGGGGGGCUGGUAAGUCAGCGGUAAAAGCCCGGGGCUCAACCUCGGCGAGCCGUUGAAACUGGCUGUCUUGAGAUGUCGAGAGGUAUGCGGAAUGCGCAGUGUAGCGGUGAAAUGCUUAGAUAUUGCGCAGAACUCCGAUUGCGAAGGCAGCAUACCGGCGGCGAUCUGACGCUGAGGCACGAAAGCGUGGGUAUCGAACAGGAUUAGAUACCCGGGUAGUC